UUAUGACAUCUGACCUCAAAUCAGGUAGGACUACCCGCUGAACUUAAGCAUAUCAAAGCGGGGAGA
This 66-nucleotide ribosomal RNA is filed under the name Trametes gibbosa. RNAcentral's name for it is "partial 28S ribosomal RNA". The record is from RNAcentral. Lineage: Eukaryota; Fungi; Basidiomycota; Agaricomycetes; Polyporales; Polyporaceae.